RNAcentral lists this transfer RNA (50 nucleotides) under Porticoccaceae bacterium. RNAcentral's name for it is "tRNA-Thr". It matches the Rfam family "tRNA", at positions 1 to 47 of the family's 71-position model. From Rfam's summary of the family: Transfer RNA (tRNA) molecules are approximately 80 nucleotides in length. Their secondary structure includes four short double-helical elements and three loops (D, anti-codon, and T loops). Lineage: Bacteria; Pseudomonadati; Pseudomonadota; Gammaproteobacteria; Cellvibrionales; Porticoccaceae. The record is from RNAcentral.
GCCGGAAUAGCUCAGCUCGGUAGAGCAGCGCAUUCGUAAUGCGUUGGUCG